RNAcentral lists this transfer RNA (145 nucleotides) under Microcaldota archaeon. RNAcentral describes it as "tRNA-Leu". Lineage: Archaea; Nanobdellati; Microcaldota. The record is from RNAcentral.
GCAGGGGUGGCAGAGCCUGGCCAAAUGCGGGAGGCUUAAGACCUCCUCUCUUAGGAGUUCGCCGGUUCAAACGGGCUUUUCUUUUGUAAAAGAAAAGACCCGCGGAAAAGAAAACCGCGGUUGCCUGAAAAUCCGGCCCCCUGCA